CGGACCGGUGAGUAACGCGUGAGAAUUCACCUUUAGGCGGGGAAUAACCAUGGGAAACGAUGGCUAAUGCCCCAUAUGCUCGCAAGAGUGAAAGGAGAAAUCCACCCAAAGAGAAGCUCGCGGCUGAUUAGCUAGUUGGUAAGGUAAUGGCUUACCAAGGCGACGAUCAGUAGCUGGUUUGAGAGAACGAUCAGCCACACUGGAACUGAGACACGGUCCAGACUCCUACGGGAGGCAGCAGUGGGGAAUUUUCCGCAAUGGGCGAAAGCCUGACGGAGCAAUACCGCGUGAGGGAUGACGGCCCUUGGGUUGUAAACCUCUUUUAUCAAGGAGGAAGUUCUGACGUGUACUUGAUGAAUAAGCAUCGGCUAACUCCGUGCCAGCAGCCGCGGUAAGACGGAGGAUGCAAGUGUUAUCCGGAAUCACUGGGCGUAAAGCGUCUGUAGGUGGUUUCAAAAGUCUACGGUUAAAAAUUGAAGCUUAACUUCAAAGAUGCCGUGGAAACUUUGAAACUGGAGGAUGGUAGGGGUAGAGGGAAUUUCCAGUGGAGCGGUGAAAUGCGUAGAUAUUGGAAAGACCACCAAUGGCGAAGGCACUCUACUGGGCCAUUACUGACACUGAGAGACGAAAGCUAGGGGAGCAAAAGGAUUAGAUACCCCAGUAGUC
This 666-nucleotide ribosomal RNA is filed under the name uncultured cyanobacterium. RNAcentral describes it as "bacterial SSU rRNA". It matches the Rfam family "Bacterial small subunit ribosomal RNA", at positions 99 to 795 of the family's 1533-position model. The record is from RNAcentral. Lineage: Bacteria; Bacillati; Cyanobacteriota.